GAUCCUGGCUCAGGACGAACGCUGGCGGCGUGCUUAACACAUGCAAGUCGAACGGAGUGCCCAUGACAGAGGUUUCGGCCAAUGGAUUGGGUUACUUAGUGGCGGACUGGUGAGUAACGCGUGAGGAACCUGCCUUUCAGAGGGGGACAACAGUUGGAAACGACUGCUAAUACCGCAUGACACAUUUUGAUCGCAUGGUCGGAAUGUCAAAGAUUUAUCGCUGAAAGAUGGCCUCGCG
This 238-nucleotide ribosomal RNA is filed under the name uncultured bacterium. Its description in RNAcentral is "partial 16S ribosomal RNA". It matches the Rfam family "Bacterial small subunit ribosomal RNA", at positions 15 to 235 of the family's 1533-position model. The record is from RNAcentral.